CUCUUGCGACUUUCUCUUGCCUCUUCUUUCUUGUCUCUCCAUCCACAGAAGGAGAAAAGGGCAGAAGAGGCAAUUGUGUUGCAGGAAAAGAGGAUAUCAAAGCAGACUGCAAUACUUGUGUGGAAAUAGAGGACAGAAAGGUAAGUCUAUAUUUUUCAUCUUUUUGGUUUCAAACAAAACAAGAU
This 185-nucleotide long non-coding RNA is filed under the name Capra hircus (goat). RNAcentral's name for it is "lncRNA (ENSCHIG00000005063.1)". The record is from RNAcentral. Lineage: Eukaryota; Metazoa; Chordata; Mammalia; Artiodactyla; Bovidae.